Molecule: RNA transcript, 3668 nt
Organism: Podarcis muralis (Common wall lizard)
Lineage: Eukaryota; Metazoa; Chordata; Lepidosauria; Squamata; Lacertidae
Gene: FOXO3
Gene name: forkhead box O3
Source: RefSeq, a predicted model, not a curated record
GGGUUAGGUUGUGGCUCCCUGCGUGUGUCUAUAACUUUGUGUUGCCGCCGCUGGUUGUUAGGAGAAGGAAUGUGGAAGUCAGCAGAGCGGAGGGCGGCGGGCUGCUCGCGCGAGCUGCAGAGGCGCCCUUCGUCCCCGCCAGUGGCGCCUCCUCCUCCUGCGCUUCUUCCAGGCAGGGGGAUCAUCCGCGUCGCUUUGUUUUAAAGGCUUCUUCCUCUGCCUAAGGCGAGACGAGCUGGAGGGAACCGUGCUAGCAGGAGCCAUACAGCAAGAGCAGCAGCAGCAGCAACGCUGCGUCUUCCUAUUCCUCCUGUGAAUUCCGACCUGGAUUUUCCGCCGUCCGAGCUGCUCGCUGCUGCUUGGAACCUGCCGCCCGCCCGCUCGCUCGCUCGCUCUCUCCUUCGUCCCUCCCUCCCUCCCUCCCUCUCUCCCUCCGCCUGCGUGACCUCCCGCUCUGCCUUUUCGCCAAGGCUUGUUUAAAUGACUUGAGUGAAAGAGGGGAAACUGUCAAGAUGGCAGCAGCAGGAGCGAGGAGGUGAUGAGCGGGGUGGUGUGGAUGCUGGAACGAAAACCUUGGCAGCCCUAAAGGACGAGGACUCCGGGCUUCUGGACCUGUUGGAAGACCGGCGAUUUGACUUGUCUUUGCUCUCUUUCCCUCUCUCUUUCCCCCACGUUGAAGAUUCGGAUUUUUUUUAAAGCACAGCAGAGCGUGAGUUUCCCGGUGUUGUUGUUUCCCCCCUCUGCGCCCCCUUUUUGGGUUUUUGUUUUUGCUUUUUGGGGGGCGAAGAGGAACGGAGCAGGCGCGAUCGGGUGCGUUUUAAGACUUCAGUUUCCCAGCUAAGCUGUUUCGAAGUCAGCGGCGGAGAAGGACUCCUGGAGCCGAACAGAAAGCGCCCGCCAAAUCAACAAGCAAGAAGAGACUCGUGGCUCCCUCUUUAUUUUUAGGCGUGCGGAGGGGGAGAGAGCCCGCGGGAAGUGGUCUCUUUAAUACAUACCGCGAGAUGCUAUUGGAGCAAUCCUGCACGGGGUGAAAGAUAAACAAACACACGGGCGCGCCGCCGCGGAGAUUUGCUUUCCCACUCUGCAAGGGUUGGGUGUUAUUUUUUUUGGGGGGGGGGGCUGUUUCUUGCAAAAUCGGCGCCCCUCAGGAUCCCGAGGAAGAGGACGCACCUGGAGCCGGCUUGACCACCUGAUCGUUUCUUUUUCCCGAUUGAUUUUAUUGGUUGUUGUUGCUGGCGGUAGGGAAGGAGAGGUGGCGGGGUGAAAAGGAGGCGGCCGGACCUUUAAUGGAGCGUGGCAUGUUUGUACAACCUCGCUGAUCGCUGCUACUAGGAGGUGCGAGAGGAGGAGGCGGAGGAGGAGGAGGGACGGCCGAGGUGUGGAUCGGGCUCCUCUUCCCUGACAUCCCCACUUGGCAGCGGAUCGGCAGGCAGGCAGAGCAGCCUCCAGAGCGGGGGAGAGGCCAAGAUGGCAGAGGCGUCUCCCCCCGCCCCCUUGUCCCCCGUGGACGUGGACCUGGACCCCGAGUUCGAGCCCCAGAGCCGCCCGCGCUCCUGUACGUGGCCCCUGCAGAGGCCUGAGCUGCAGGCGAGCCCGGCCAAGCCCGCGGGGGAAGCGGGCGCCGACGCCGCCUCCAUGAUCCCCGAGGAGGACGACGACGUCGACGACGAGGAGCAAGGGGGCAGCUCGGCCAUGGCCGUCGGAGACGCCGUCCCUAGCGGCGGCGGCGGAGAGGCGCUGGCCCCGGAGGACACGGCCCGCCUGCUGGCGCCUUUCUCGGGGCUGUCCGGCGACGGGUCCGGCCAGGGCGCCAGGGCGCCGAGCGGAGGGCAGCAGCCGCAGCAGCCGGGGGCGAGCGGGGCGGCGGCGGCGCCGAGGAAAUGCUCGUCCCGCCGAAACGCGUGGGGGAACUUGUCCUACGCGGACCUGAUCACUCGCGCCAUCGAGAGCUCCCCGGAGAAGCGCCUCACCCUCUCGCAGAUCUACGAGUGGAUGGUGCGCUGCGUGCCCUACUUCAAGGAUAAGGGCGACAGCAACAGCUCGGCCGGCUGGAAGAACUCGAUCAGGCACAACUUGUCUCUUCAUAGUCGAUUCAUCCGGGUACAGAAUGAAGGAACUGGGAAAAGUUCGUGGUGGAUGAUCAACCCUGACGGUGGAAAAGGUGGGAAAGCGCCACGGAGACGUGCUGUUUCGAUGGAUAACAGCAACAAGUACACCAAGAGCCGAGGACGAGCAGCUAAGAAGAAGGCAGCACUGCAAGCUGCCCAGGAAACAAGCGAAGACAGCCCCUCCCAGCUCUCCAAGUGGCCAGGUAGCCCAACCUCACGCAGCAGCGAUGAGCUAGACGCCUGGACAGAUUUCCGGUCUCGUACAAAUUCAAAUGCCAGUACAAUAAGUGGCCGCUUGUCACCAAUACUGGCCAGCACUGAGCUAGAUGAGGUUCAGGAUGAUGAUGCUCCACUUUCCCCUAUGCUGUAUAGCAGUCCACCCAGCAUGUCUCCCUCAGUAAAUAAACCUGGCAAUGUUGAGCUGCCAAGGUUGACUGAUAUGGCGGGCACCAUGAACUUGAACGAUGGUCUGACAGACAAUCUUAUGGAUGAUCUUUUGGACAAUAUAACCCUCCCCUCUUCCCAGCAGUCGCCCACAGGGGGACUCAUGCAAAGAAGCUCAAGUUUUCCAUACGGCUCCAAAGGUUCAGGUCUUGGUUCUCCAUCGAAUAGUUUCAACAACGCUGUGUUUGGACCAUCAUCUCUGAAUUCCCUCCGUCAGUCUCCCAUGCAAACCAUCCAAGAGAACAAGCAAGCUACAUUUUCUUCCAUUUCGCAUUACAAUAACCAAACACUGCAGGAUCUGCUGGCUUCGGAUUCGCAUAGCCACAGCGAUGUCAUGAUGACUCAGUCCGAUCCACUCAUGUCACAAGCUAGCACAGCUGUGUCUGCCCAUAACGUACGCAGGAAUAUUAUGCUGCGGAAUGAUCCCAUGAUGUCGUUUGCUGCCCAGCCAAGCCAGGGGAGUUUGGUCAACCAGAAUCUGCUCCACCACCAGCACCAGUCCCAGAAUUCCUCUCUCGGUGGCAGUCGUGCCUUGUCGAAUUCCGUCGGUACUAUGGGCUUAAGUGACACAAGCAACGUUGGGUCGACAAAACACCAGCAACAGUCACCUGCCAACCAGUCUAUGCAAUCGCUUUCUGACUCACUCUCAGGCUCUUCUUUGUACUCCAGCAGCGUGAGCCUUCCAGUCAUGGGGCAUGAUAAAUUCCCCAGUGAUUUGGACCUGGAUAUUUUCAACGGGAGCUUGGAAUGUGAUAUGGAGUCCAUUAUCCGCAGCGAACUCAUGGAUGCAGAUGGGUUGGAUUUUAACUUUGAUUCCCUCAUCUCAGCCCAGAAUGUUGUCACUCUGAAUGUGGGAAACUUCACUGGUGCUAAGCAAGCUUCGUCACAGAGUUGGGUUCCAGGCUGAAGGAUUUAUGCAAAGAGGGGGAAAUGGGCAAAGCAGAUCUGCUUCCACAUUCUCUCAUGUCACCUGUAGCACAACAGAGAAAUUCUGAACAAUUGACACUUGAAAGCCACAACAGAAGAUGGCCCUUCAUCUGACACGAGAGCUAGAGGGGGGGAAAACUUUGCCAAAUCAACUGUCAGCAAGGACAGGGAUACCGUUUACAGCUUAUA